GACACACGUGUUAUAGUCGGUCGCAAAAGCUUCGCCCAAACCACGUGAGCGGAUGGUGAAGGGCACCCCAGCGCCUUCUACCGGCGCACUGAGUGCGGUUGAGCGAAGAGCUGGGACGGAGCUAGUGAUGCCCUCCGUGCCGACGUGUGUCUAGACCCUGCUCCUGAACACGUCUUCGCCUCGGAGACUGUAAUUCGCGCGACUGCAAGUCGAGAACUCAGCUUUCAAACUACGGAGCCGUUUAUUUAGAAGUGACGGGUGAUUCGAGACCAAGCAAGCAGAUCAAGAUGCGACUGGCGCCCACUCGGCAACUGACUUUGCCCAGGAAAUUCCCACGUUCUUGCAAUCACGCUUCCAUCGCCCAUUUUCCCUCGCAGUGAAGUCGUGGUACGACGCCCACGCAGCAGCUGAGUGUUUCAGUCAUCGCCGACGCUCCCCUACAACCUCGAGGAGCCACAGGGUACGACAGCACGUCAGCGCAUCGAUGCCAACCAAAAGGUCCCUCCAAUGGGCAUGCGGAACGUGGGCCAGUGGUUUUCGUGCGUACGCGCGCUUAUCCUCGAGGGACAGCCUUGGGCAGAGGUGCCCGCGAGAGCACCGGGCAAGUAAUGGAACGAGACACCACCGCCAGUGUCCUCGAUGAUCAUCACCGCGGUGCAAAUUCAUGGAUAGCUGACAAGCUGCCCCUGCGCUUCGUGUUCGAGCCGUUUCUACUCUUGGGCAGUCUCCAACUGCACUAACGCCAGCCCCUGUAAAAAGCUUUUAAGGAUUCAUUCGGUGACGCAUUCAGCAUGGAUUCUUCCACUCGAUACUACAAAGCUUUGAAAGACGGAUGAUCCGCUGCGUCUUGAUGCAGCUUUAUAUGGUCGCGCCCCUGGAGGUUACUGCCACUCGAAGCAAGAGCUGCAACAGCAAGUUUUGUCUGGAUGGUUAUACGUCUCGGACAAGCCUGUGCUCUGGAGACAGCUUUUGGGCCUCGCGAGCUCGCAUUACGGCAAGUUGUGCUGAAAAUAUAAAGCACUAUCUGCUGCUUCUCUUGUGCGUGCGUUGUUACGUCUGUUGGAAUCGGAUUUAUCUUACACCAAUAAAUUUUCUG
Molecule: non-coding RNA, 1096 nt
Organism: Dermacentor andersoni
Lineage: Eukaryota; Metazoa; Arthropoda; Arachnida; Ixodida; Ixodidae
Source: RefSeq, a predicted model, not a curated record